RNAcentral lists this ribosomal RNA (632 nucleotides) under uncultured eukaryote. Its description in RNAcentral is "SSU rRNA". It matches the Rfam family "Eukaryotic small subunit ribosomal RNA", at positions 463 to 1097 of the family's 1831-position model. The record is from RNAcentral.
GGUAGUGACAAUAAAUACUGAUACAGGGCUCUUUUGGGUCUUGUAAUUGGAAUGAGUACAAUUUAAAUCCCUUAACGAGGAACAAUUGGAGGGCAAGUCUGGUGCCAGCAGCCGCGGUAAUUCCAGCUCCAAUAGCGUAUAUUAAAGUUGUUGUGGUUAAAAAGCUCGUAGUUGAACCUUGGGCCUGGCUGGCCGGUCCGCCUCACCGCGUGUACUGGUCCGGCCGGGCCUUUCCCUCUGUGGAACCCCAUGCCCUUCACUGGGUGUGGCGGGGAAACAGGACUUUUACUUUGAAAAAAUUAGAGUGCUCCAGGCAGGCCUAUGCUCGAAUACAUUAGCAUGGAAUAAUAGAAUAGGACGUGUGGUUCUAUUUUGUUGGUUUCUAGGACCGCCGUAAUGAUUAAUAAGGACAGUCGGGGGCAUCAGUAUUCAAUUGUCAGAGGUGAAAUUCUUGGAUUUAUUGAAGACUAACUACUGCGAAAGCAUUUGCCAAGGAUGUUUUCUUUAAUCAGGAACGAAAGUUAGGGGAUCGAAGACGAUCAGAUACCGUCGUAGUCUUAACCAUAAACUAUGCCGACUAGGGAUCGGACGAUGUUUAUUUUUUUGACUCUUUUCGGCACCUUUACAAGAAA